UAUAAACUAAUCCCACAUCGAAAUGAGCAAGGGCAACAAAGCGAGUGCAUUGUUGUAUAAAAGAAAACACGGGUUACCUCUCAACUCACUUACCUGGACGGGGUCAAUGGGCGAUCAACAAGGCCCAUGGCCUAGGACAGUGACUUCCAUUGCACCUUGGAGGGUGCUGUCCUAAGGUCUGUCCAAGUGACAGAGCCUACGUCAUAAUUUGUGGUAGUGAGGGCCUGCGUUCGCGCGGCCCUCGUUCCAAUUCAGUACGAAAGGUUUUCACACUUUGACCGGCAGGUGUUUGAUAAAAUGAUUCAAUGAAGUUUGUGAAAGGUUGCACAAGUACUUAUUUGCCUGCAUUGAAGGUCAGCCCAUCUCCUUUUAUAGACCAAUGGAGGGACUGAUUCCUUUUACAAAUGUUAGUAACAAUGGUUUUGGAGUCUAUUGCCAUGCCAUUCUGCCUAGCUGGCCAGCAAUGCAGAUAGUGGAGCUCCUAUGUGCCAUAAUCCUCUGAUUCCCUUGUUUGUAUUGUAGCAGUGCAGCCAAUGGGAUUUCAUUGUGUUGUGGGGCCCUUUAAGUUCGUGCGGCCCUUGUUCCAAAUCAAUAUGAAGUUUUCCAUUUUUUUCCAGUCUAAUUAUAAAGAGAAAUGCUAUUGGUUGUUAUUGGUUGUUACAAAUGGUAAAAAAGCAAUUUAAGUUUUGAAUUUAAAUUAGAACUAAUAACAAUUUUUCACUUAUGAUUUGUUGUGAAAAUGUUGUGGAGUUAACACCUCUCAUUUAUAAAUGUCUUGUACCUUUCAA
This is a long non-coding RNA of Quercus robur (English oak), 788 nucleotides long. RefSeq lists it as uncharacterized. Lineage: Eukaryota; Viridiplantae; Streptophyta; Magnoliopsida; Fagales; Fagaceae. The transcript is spliced from 2 exons. The record is from RefSeq and is a predicted model, not a curated record.